UACGGAGGGGGCCAGCGUUGUUCGGAAUCAUUGGGCGUAAAGGGCGCGUAGGCGGCCUGGUAAGUCGGGCGUGAAAUCCCGCGGCUCAACCGCGGAAUUGCGCUCGAAACUGCUUGGCUCGAGUCCCGGAGAGGGUAGCGGAAUUCCCAGUGUAGCGGUGAAAUGCGUAGAUAUUGGGAGGAACACCAGUGGCGAAGGCGGCUACCUGGACGGGAACUGACGUUGAGGCGCGAAAGCGUGGGGAGCAAACAGG
Molecule: ribosomal RNA, 253 nt
Filed under: uncultured bacterium
Lineage: Bacteria
Description: partial 16S ribosomal RNA
Rfam family: Bacterial small subunit ribosomal RNA
Source: RNAcentral